GCUGAAGAACGCAGCGAAAUGCGAUAAGUAGUGUGAAUUGCAGAAUUCAGUGAAUCAUCGAAUCUUUGAACGCACAUUGCGCCCCUUGGUAUUCCAUGGGGCAUGCCUGUUCGAGCGUCAUUUGUACCUUCAAGCUUUGCUUGGUGUUGGGUGUUUGUCUCGCCUUUGCGUGUAGACUCGCCUUAAAAUAAUUGGCAGCCGGCGUAUUGAUUUCGGAGCGCAGUACAUCUCGCGCUUUGCACUCAUAACGACAGCGUCCAAAAGUACAUUUUACACUCUUGACCUCGGAUCAGGUAGGGAUACCCGCUGAACUUAAGCAUAUCAAUAAGCAGAGGA
Molecule: unclassified non-coding RNA, 336 nt
Filed under: soil metagenome
Description: partial contains 5.8S ribosomal RNA, internal transcribed spacer 2, and large subunit ribosomal RNA
Rfam family: 5.8S ribosomal RNA (bases 3-120)
Source: RNAcentral